CCAGCCCGGAAGGAGGAGGCAGCCAGAGAGGCCUCCACUGUUCUCUGCAGCAGAAGACCCCUUGCUGCCAGAGUCCAGCUUUCAAAUCCAUAGAGUGUCACAAAAGAAGGCCAUUGUCCAAAGGAUUCUAAUCUUUGUAGGUAUCUAGGAGUAUAGUAGGCAACUGAGUCCAGGAUUCAAGGGUGAACAGUUGAGCAGGAGUAAUAAAGACCUUCUGGGAACUUCAUGAACUCUGACUUGAGUUCCACAAUGAAGAAUUUUUAAAAGCAUAAUGCUCCGGAGUUCCUGUACAAAUGGAAAGUCAAGAGGAACCCAUCCUACAAAACUCUACGCACCCAAGUAAUCUUUACUCUCCCGGGAGCACUUUCCUUGUGAAAGCAAAUUACUCCGACGAGCAUCAGACCAAAAAGCAGGAAAUGUAUCAAUGCAGAUCUGAAAUACAGUGUGAUCAGAUGAGAUCCAGGAUAUUGCAGGAUACUAGCAUUCAUAAUAUGUGU
This is a long non-coding RNA of Hemicordylus capensis (graceful crag lizard), 497 nucleotides long. RefSeq lists it as uncharacterized. Lineage: Eukaryota; Metazoa; Chordata; Lepidosauria; Squamata; Cordylidae. The record is from RefSeq and is a predicted model, not a curated record. The transcript is spliced from 3 exons.